Molecule: ribosomal RNA, 492 nt
Filed under: uncultured bacterium
Lineage: Bacteria
Description: partial 16S ribosomal RNA
Rfam family: Bacterial small subunit ribosomal RNA
Source: RNAcentral
AGUGAACGCUGGCGGUAGGCCUAACACAUGCAAGUCGAACGGCAGCACAGUAAGAGCUUGCUCUUACGGGUGGCGAGUGGCGGACGGGUGAGGAAUACAUCGGAAUCUACUUUUUCGUGGGGGAUAACGUAGGGAAACUUACGCUACUACCGCAUACGACCUACGGGUGAAAGCAGGGGAGCUUCGGACCUUGCGCGAUUGAAUGAGCCGAUGUCGGAUUAGCUAGUUGGCGGGGUAAAGGCCCACCAAGGCGACGAUCCGUAGCUGGUCUGAGAGGAUGAUCGGCCACACUGGAACUGAGACACGGUCCAGACUCCUACGGGAGGCAGCAGUGGGGAAUAUUGGACAAUGGGCGCAAGCCUGAUCCAGCCAUACCGCGUGGGUGAGGAAGGCCUUCGGGUUGUAAAGCCCUUUUGUUGGGAAAGAAAAGCAGCAGGUUAAUACCCCGCUGUUCUGACGGUACCCAAAGAAUAAGCACCGGCUAACUACGUG